AUGAGGGGCGACCGGGCGACUGGGCAGGCGACUGAGCCCGCGACGGCGCCCUCCGCGUCCAGUGAUCGCCGGCGGGUCGGCGGGAGGUUUUGGGCUCUCGCCGAUUCAGACGAAGAAGACGUGGACGACGAUGGGGAUUCUCCGGCGGAUCCCCUGCCCUCACCGACUUCUUCGGAUCUCAUUUGCGAAUUUUUUCAUUCAGGUUAUACUGAAGAUGAGGUGGCUACGACGAUUGAUCGUGUUCUGCCAUCGGAUGAUCCGGCGCGAAUCGGUCUUCGCGCGGACGAGAAGAAAGAGAUGAUUCGACGUGUAGUGCAUCGGAGGACGGCGGCAUCCGCGAUUCGACCUUGGAAGGGUCCCAUACCUAAGGUGAGUCUUCCGAAUCUUACGCUUUUCGACAUGAUUAGGCCGGAGUCGUGGAUUACUGUUAAGAAGAGGAAGAAUACGAGGCGGAUCGGCGGUCGUCAGGCACCGACGGCGCCGGUCUUGGCUGCGCCGGCGAUGGGGAUCUUGGAGGCGAGAGCGCGGCGUUUGAACAGUUUGUUGGGCUCCGUUGGGCCGGCUCGGAGGGAGUCGAGUCCACGAGGAGUUGGGCCUAGGUCAGAUGGGUAUGAGGCCCAUGCUGAACCGGACCAUACUCCAUCCCGCAACGCAAUCACAUGCACGUACGAGGGGGAUCGGUCUCCUUCCUGUCGUGCGCCGUCGUCUGUCGCUGUUAGGGUUCGCAGGCGCGGGACCAGGGGAUUCCCCACGUGUGGUGCUCGUCGGGCGAGAAGGAUUCGACCUCUCCUGGACAUGGCCGGUCGCGGGGCUGCGCCGCCGCCAUCGAAGAGACUCGCCUCGUCCGCUCCAGCAGGGCGGGGCGGGGAGGAGCCGCCUCCGGCGGCGGGGGCCGGGCGUGGAGCCCUCGUGCCGCCGGGCCAGAGGCAGCCGGCAGGCGGGGGCGUUCCACUGGGACCGGGCCGCGGUAAUGCUAACUCGGGCGUGAGGCCGCCGGCGCCUAUUGCUUAG
This 1011-nucleotide ribosomal RNA is filed under the name Triticum aestivum (bread wheat). RNAcentral's name for it is "partial small subunit ribosomal RNA". Lineage: Eukaryota; Viridiplantae; Streptophyta; Magnoliopsida; Poales; Poaceae. The record is from RNAcentral.